Molecule: ribosomal RNA, 503 nt
Filed under: uncultured bacterium
Lineage: Bacteria
Description: partial 16S ribosomal RNA
Rfam family: Bacterial small subunit ribosomal RNA
Source: RNAcentral
AACGAACGCUGGCGGCACGUUUUAAGCAUGCAAGUCGAAUGGCAGUGGGGGCAACCCCAUGAGAAUGGCGAACGGGUGAGUAACACGUAGGUGAUCUGCCUGACGGAUGGGGAUAGCUUGUGGAAACACAGGGUAAUACCGAAUGAGCUGAUGAGACUUUGGUUUUGUUAGUAAAGGUGCUACGGCACCGCCGACAGAGGAGCCUGCGGCUGAUUAGCUAGUUGGUGGGGUAAAGGCCUACCAAGGCGACGAUCAGUAGCCGGCCUGAGAGGGGGUACGGCCAAACUGGAACUGGGACACGGUCCAGACUCCUACGGGAGGCAGCAGCUAAGAACCUUCCGCAAUGGGCGAAAGCCUGACGGAGCGAUGCCGCGUGAUCGAUGAAGGUCGAGAGAUUGUAAAGAUCUUUUCUACAUGAGGAAUAAGUCUGGGAGGGAAUGCCUGGAUGAUGACGUUAGUGUAGGAAUAAGCCCCGGCUAAUUACGUGCCAGCAGCCGCCGUAA